This 265-nucleotide ribosomal RNA is filed under the name uncultured archaeon. Its description in RNAcentral is "partial 16S ribosomal RNA". It matches the Rfam family "Archaeal small subunit ribosomal RNA", at positions 714 to 982 of the family's 1478-position model. The record is from RNAcentral.
AGACGUCUACAUUAGAUACCCCCCGUAGUCCCAGCCGUAAACUAUGCGCGUUAGGUGUAUCGGUGACCACGAGUCACCGAGGUGCCGAAGGGAAACCGUGAAACGUGCCGCCUGGGAAGUACGGUCGCAAGGCUGAAACUUAAAGGAAUUGGCGGGGAGCACCACAACGGGUGGAGCCUGCGGUUUAAUUGGACUCAACGCCGGGAAGCUCACCGGAUAAGACAGCGGAAUGAUUGCCGGGCUGAAGACUCUGCAUGACUAGCUG